AUUGGUGUUGUACCGCGUUCCGUUAAAUACAUUGAAAUAUAUACAUUUUAUCACUAGAUAAUUCUGUCGCCGUUUUACCGAUGUACGCUGGCGUUGAUGCACCGGUUGUUGUUGCCUACCCCCCCCCCCCUUUUUUUUUUCUUUCUGUCUUUCUUAGUAAGGAAGCCAGCUACUUUUGAAACGACCAGCUCCAUAAUUCCUACUGAUAUUUAUCAGGAAAGAUGCAAGCUGUGCGUGAACAUGUCGAACGCCAAAAAAAAAAAAUGUUUUGAAGUUCAGCUGACCUUCAAAUCCUUUUGGGAAUGCGAUG
Molecule: non-coding RNA, 310 nt
Organism: Oryzias latipes (Japanese medaka)
Lineage: Eukaryota; Metazoa; Chordata; Actinopteri; Beloniformes; Adrianichthyidae
Source: RefSeq, a predicted model, not a curated record